RNAcentral lists this ribosomal RNA (497 nucleotides) under uncultured bacterium. Its description in RNAcentral is "partial 16S ribosomal RNA". It matches the Rfam family "Bacterial small subunit ribosomal RNA", at positions 28 to 507 of the family's 1533-position model. The record is from RNAcentral.
GAUGAACGCUGGCGGCGUGCCUAAUACAUGCAAGUCGAGCGAACGGACGAGAAGCUUUCUUCUCUGAUGUUAGCGGCGGACGGGGGAGUAACACGUGGAUAACCUACCUAUAAGACUGGGAUAACUUCGGGAAACCGGAGCUAAUACCGGAUAAUAUCUUGAACCGCAUGGUUCAAAAGUGAAAGACGGUCUUGCUGUCACUUAUAGAUGGAUCCGCGCUGCAUUAGCUAGUUGGUAAGGUAACGGCUUACCAAGGCAACGAUGCAUAGCCGACCUGAGAGGGUGAUCGGCCACACUGGAACUGAGACACGGUCCAGACUCCUACGGGAGGCAGCAGUAGGGAAUCUUCCGCAAUGGGCGAAAGCCUGACGGAGCAACGCCGCGUGAGUGAUGAAGGUCUUCGGAUCGUAAAACUCUGUUAUUAGGGAAGAACAUAUGUGUAAGUAACUGUGCACAUCUUGACGGUACCUAAUCAGAAAGCCACGGCUAACUACGUG